RNAcentral lists this long non-coding RNA (233 nucleotides) under Lathyrus oleraceus (garden pea). Its description in RNAcentral is "Pisum sativum (pea) long non-coding RNA (PSAT_LNC027366)". The record is from RNAcentral. Lineage: Eukaryota; Viridiplantae; Streptophyta; Magnoliopsida; Fabales; Fabaceae.
CGUGUAAGGACUUUUAAUGUUCCCACUUACUAAAUGAAAUUUAGUUUUUUUUUUUUUUAAAUUUUUAAAUUUUGAUAGUGUCUAACUAGUUACCUUUCAAAAGGUUAAUUACACAUAAAAAUUUAAAUCAACAUGACAACUUGGUGCACACAACUUGGUUCAUACCAUCUUUGGGAAGCGAACCUGACUAAGGGUGUGCUUCCAUUCCAUGCCUCAGAGUGAUAACUUGGUUC